CUUCAAGGCACUGUUGGUCCAGAUUGUGCCGCUACUCCACGGCGAUACGGCAUAGAUGAAGUGGUUGAUAAUGAAGGGACUUUUGGAUAAAGAAGUGGAAGAUCUCAAAACGUUUACGGGCGAUCAAGUUUACGACACAGAAGAGGGAGGCGAUAAUGAUGCCGAAGAUUUACUGCCAGUGACAGUGCAUGGAUCACCUUGCAAAACCUGCACAUAAGCAUCUCCGUUCACAGCAGCUGGGCAUUCACAGCAACACACAACAUCU
Long non-coding RNA from Schistocerca gregaria, 265 nucleotides. RefSeq lists it as uncharacterized. The transcript has 2 exons. The record is from RefSeq and is a predicted model, not a curated record. NCBI's taxonomy places the organism in Eukaryota, Metazoa, Arthropoda, Insecta, Orthoptera, Acrididae.